Molecule: transfer RNA, 64 nt
Filed under: Psylliodes laevicollis
Lineage: Eukaryota; Metazoa; Arthropoda; Insecta; Coleoptera; Chrysomelidae
Description: tRNA-His
Source: RNAcentral
AUCUAAAUAGUUUAAUUAAAAAUUUUGAUUUGUGAUAUCAAAGAUAUAGCUCAUAUUUUAGAUU